UUAAGCGACUAAGCGUACACGGUGGAUGCCCUGGCAGUCAGAGGCGAUGAAGGACGUGCUAAUCUGCGAUAAGCGUCGGUAAGGUGAUAUGAACCGUUAUAACCGGCGAUUUCCGAAUGGGGAAACCCAGUGUGUUUCGACACACUAUCAUUAACUGAAUCCAUAGGUUAAUGAGGCGAACCGGGGGAACUGAAACAUCUAAGUACCCCGAGGAAAAGAAAUCAACCGAGAUUCCCCCAGUAGCGGCGAGCGAACGGGGAGCAGCCCAGAGCCUGAAUCAGUGUGUGUGUUAGUGGAAGCGUCUGGAAAGGCGCGCGAUACAGGGUGACAGCCCCGUACACAAAAAUGCACAUGCUGUGAGCUCGAUGAGUAGGGCGGGACACGUGGUAUCCUGUCUGAAUAUGGGGGGACCAUCCUCCAAGGCUAAAUACUCCUGACUGACCGAUAGUGAACCAGUACCGUGAGGGAAAGGCGAAAAGAACCCCGGCGAGGGGAGUGAAAAAGAACCUGAAACCGUGUACGUACAAGCAGUGGGAGCACGCUUAGGCGUGUGACUGCGUACCUUUUGUAUAAUGGGUCAGCGACUUAUAUUCUGUAGCAAGGUUAACCGAAUAGGGGAGCCGAAGGGAAACCGAGUCUUAACUGGGCGUUAAGUUGCAGGGUAUAGACCCGAAACCCGGUGAUCUAGCCAUGGGCAGGUUGAAGGUUGGGUAACACUAACUGGAGGACCGAACCGACUAAUGUUGAAAAAUUAGCGGAUGACUUGUGGCUGGGGGUGAAAGGCCAAUCAAACCGGGAGAUAGCUGGUUCUCCCCGAAAGCUAUUUAGGUAGCGCCUCGUGAAUUCAUCUCCGGGGGUAGAGCACUGUUUCGGCAAGGGGGUCAUCCCGACUUACCAACCCGAUGCAAACUGCGAAUACCGGAGAAUGUUAUCACGGGAGACACACGGCGGGUGCUAACGUCCGUCGUGAAGAGGGAAACAACCCAGACCGCCAGCUAAGGUCCCAAAGUCAUGGUUAAGUGGGAAACGAUGUGGGAAGGCCCAGACAGCCAGGAUGUUGGCUUAGAAGCAGCCAUCAUUUAAAGAAAGCGUAAUAGCUCACUGGUCGAGUCGGCCUGCGCGGAAGAUGUAACGGGGCUAAACCAUGCACCGAAGCUGCGGCAGCGACGCUUAUGCGUUGUUGGGUAGGGGAGCGUUCUGUAAGCCUGCGAAGGUGUGCUGUGAGGCAUGCUGGAGGUAUCAGAAGUGCGAAUGCUGACAUAAGUAACGAUAAAGCGGGUGAAAAGCCCGCUCGCCGGAAGACCAAGGGUUCCUGUCCAACGUUAAUCGGGGCAGGGUGAGUCGACCCCUAAGGCGAGGCCGAAAGGCGUAGUCGAUGGGAAACAGGUUAAUAUUCCUGUACUUGGUGUUACUGCGAAGGGGGGACGGAGAAGGCUAUGUUGGCCGGGCGACGGUUGUCCCGGUUUAAGCGUGUAGGCUGGUUUUCCAGGCAAAUCCGGAAAAUCAAGGCUGAGGCGUGAUGACGAGGCACUACGGUGCUGAAGCAACAAAUGCCCUGCUUCCAGGAAAAGCCUCUAAGCAUCAGGUAACAUCAAAUCGUACCCCAAACCGACACAGGUGGUCAGGUAGAGAAUACCAAGGCGCUUGAGAGAACUCGGGUGAAGGAACUAGGCAAAAUGGUGCCGUAACUUCGGGAGAAGGCACGCUGAUAUGUAGGUGAAGUCCCUUGCGGAUGGAGCUGAAAUCAGUCGAAGAUACCAGCUGGCUGCAACUGUUUAUUAAAAACACAGCACUGUGCAAACACGAAAGUGGACGUAUACGGUGUGACGCCUGCCCGGUGCCGGAAGGUUAAUUGAUGGGGUUAGCCGCAAGGCGAAGCUCUUGAUCGAAGCCCCGGUAAACGGCGGCCGUAACUAUAACGGUCCUAAGGUAGCGAAAUUCCUUGUCGGGUAAGUUCCGACCUGCACGAAUGGCGUAAUGAUGGCCAGGCUGUCUCCACCCGAGACUCAGUGAAAUUGAACUCGCUGUGAAGAUGCAGUGUACCCGCGGCAAGACGGAAAGACCCCGUGAACCUUUACUAUAGCUUGACACUGAACAUUGAGCCUUGAUGUGUAGGAUAGGUGGGAGGCUUUGAAGUGUGGACGCCAGUCUGCAUGGAGCCGACCUUGAAAUACCACCCUUUAAUGUUUGAUGUUCUAACGUUGACCCGUAAUCCGGGUUGCGGACAGUGUCUGGUGGGUAGUUUGACUGGGGCGGUCUCCUCCUAAAGAGUAACGGAGGAGCACGAAGGUUGGCUAAUCCUGGUCGGACAUCAGGAGGUUAGUGCAAUGGCAUAAGCCAGCUUGACUGCGAGCGUGACGGCGCGAGCAGGUGCGAAAGCAGGUCAUAGUGAUCCGGUGGUUCUGAAUGGAAGGGCCAUCGCUCAACGGAUAAAAGGUACUCCGGGGAUAACAGGCUGAUACCGCCCAAGAGUUCAUAUCGACGGCGGUGUUUGGCACCUCGAUGUCGGCUCAUCACAUCCUGGGGCUGAAGUAGGUCCCAAGGGUAUGGCUGUUCGCCAUUUAAAGUGGUACGCGAGCUGGGUUUAGAACGUCGUGAGACAGUUCGGUCCCUAUCUGCCGUGGGCGCUGGAGAACUGAGGGGGGCUGCUCCUAGUACGAGAGGACCGGAGUGGACGCAUCACUGGUGUUCGGGUUGUCAUGCCAAUGGCACUGCCCGGUAGCUAAAUGCGGAAGAGAUAAGUGCUGAAAGCAUCUAAGCACGAAACUUGCCCCGAGAUGAGUUCUCCCUGACUCCUUGAGAGUCCUGAAGGAACGUUGAAGACGACGACGUUGAUAGGCCGGGUGUGUAAGCGCAGCGAUGCGUUGAGCUAACCGGUACUAAUGAACCGUGAGGCUUAACCUU
This 2904-nucleotide ribosomal RNA is filed under the name Escherichia coli KTE103. RNAcentral describes it as "bacterial LSU rRNA". It matches the Rfam family "Bacterial large subunit ribosomal RNA". The record is from RNAcentral. Lineage: Bacteria; Pseudomonadati; Pseudomonadota; Gammaproteobacteria; Enterobacterales; Enterobacteriaceae.